This 245-nucleotide ribosomal RNA is filed under the name uncultured bacterium. RNAcentral describes it as "partial small subunit ribosomal RNA". It matches the Rfam family "Bacterial small subunit ribosomal RNA", at positions 26 to 285 of the family's 1533-position model. The record is from RNAcentral.
AGAAUCAACGCUGGCGGCGUGCCUAACACAUGCAAGUCGAACGAGAAAGUGGAGCAAUCCAUGAGUACAGUGGCGCACGGGUGAGUAACACGUGACUAACCUACCCUUGAGUGGGGAAUAACCUGGAGAAAUCUAGGCUAAUACCGCAUAACACCUACGGGUCAAAGGAGCAAUUCGCUUAAGGAGGGGGUCGCGGCAGAUUAGUUAGUUGGCGGGGUAAUGGCCCACCAAGACGAUGAUCUGUA